GCGCCCUUAGCUCAGCUGGAUAGAGCAGCCGCCUUCUAAGCGGCAGGUCGCAGGUUCGAGCCCUGCAGGGCGCGCCA
This 77-nucleotide transfer RNA is filed under the name Magnetospirillum sp. UT-4. RNAcentral describes it as "tRNA-Arg". It matches the Rfam family "tRNA". Rfam says of the family: Transfer RNA (tRNA) molecules are approximately 80 nucleotides in length. Their secondary structure includes four short double-helical elements and three loops (D, anti-codon, and T loops). Lineage: Bacteria; Pseudomonadati; Pseudomonadota; Alphaproteobacteria; Rhodospirillales; Rhodospirillaceae. The record is from RNAcentral.